RNAcentral lists this ribosomal RNA (301 nucleotides) under uncultured bacterium. RNAcentral describes it as "partial 16S ribosomal RNA". It matches the Rfam family "Bacterial small subunit ribosomal RNA", at positions 509 to 807 of the family's 1533-position model. The record is from RNAcentral.
CAGCAGCCGCGGUAAUACAGAGGGUGCGAGCGUUAAUCGGAUUUACUGGGCGUAAAGCGUGCGUAGGCGGCUUCUUAAGUCGGAUGUGAAAUCCCUGAGCUUAACUUAGGAAUUGCAUUCGAUACUGGGAAGAUAGAGUAUGGGAGAGGAUGGUAGAAUUCCAGGUGUAGCGGUGAAAUGCGUAGAGAUCUGGAGGAAUACCGAUGGCGAAGGCAGCCAUCUGGCCUAAUACUGACGCUGAGGUACGAAAGCAUGGGGAGCAAACAGGAUUAGAUACCCCCGUAGUCCCUGUCUCUUAUAC